RNAcentral lists this ribosomal RNA (484 nucleotides) under uncultured bacterium. RNAcentral's name for it is "partial 16S ribosomal RNA". It matches the Rfam family "Bacterial small subunit ribosomal RNA", at positions 30 to 507 of the family's 1533-position model. The record is from RNAcentral.
AUUGAACGCUGGCGGCAGGCCUAACACAUGCAAGUCGAGCGGAAGAAGGGUGCUUGCUCCUGGAUUCAGCGGCGGACGGGUGAGUAAUGCCUAGGAAUCUGCCUGGUAGUGGGGGAUAACGUCCGGAAACGGGCGCUAAUACCGCAUACGCCCUGAGGGAGAAAGUGGGGGAUCUUCGGACCUCACGCUAUCAGAUGAGCAGAGGUCGGAUUAGCUAGUUGGUGGGGUAAAGGCCUACCAAGGCGACGAUCCGUAACUGGUCUGAGAGGAUGAUCAGUCACACUGGAACUGAGACACGGUCCAGACUCCUACGGGAGGCAGCAGUGGGGAAUAUUGGACAAUGGGCGAAAGCCUGAUCCAGCCAUGCCGCGUGUGUGAAGAAGGUCUUCGGAUUGUAAAGCACUUUUAGUUGGGGAGAAAAGCAGUAAGUUAAUACCUUGCUGUUUUGACGUUACCAACAGAAUAAGCACCGGCUAACUUCGUG